Zea mays is the source of this 1055-nucleotide long non-coding RNA. RefSeq lists it as uncharacterized. Lineage: Eukaryota; Viridiplantae; Streptophyta; Magnoliopsida; Poales; Poaceae. The record is from RefSeq and is a predicted model, not a curated record. The transcript has 3 exons.
GCAGUGAAGUAGCUGUCUGUAUUGCUUGCUAGCUGCGGUAAGGGACAAAGAGGAUGCUGAUGUGUAUAGCUUGAGAUGUCGAUGGAGUGCAUGACUCAGGUUCUAGAGAUCUCACCCCUGCUGCAAAUAACCAGCUAAAUGGUCAGGCAAGUGAAGGGGGGUUCUGAACCUUGGAUCAGGUUGGAAAGGAAGAAAAGAUCUUGUCACCUUGCUGUACCUCACUGGUGUGCUCGAGUGGGAUAAAGGAGAAGUGAGUAACUGAAGUCUGGAGUCCCCGUUUUCUGCAGAAAUAUCAAGGUUUGAUAUUUGGCUUGUGACCCUGAUCAAGUUCAGUGUUUUAUAUGUGUCUUUGAACCUGGGAGGAGUGCAUGAGAGCCACGUACUUGAACCUAGGUUGUGCUGGCACACUAGGAGUUCUUCCCCACUAAGUUGUGUACAAGUACAGAGAGCACCUUAGGGAUGGUUCCAAUAAAAUUAUCCUCCAACAAUCCUCAAGCUCCAACCAGGGUACAGCGUGUGUGAGUGGUAGAACUUCUGUCCACACCGGUGUUCACCUGUCCCCAGUCCCCAAACUUGGUCUGUCCAGAAGCUGAGCGCGCCAACACCUGGUCUAGUGACCACACUCGCCAGUUCUUCACCUCGCCGUGGCCAGGUAGUUCCGGUGUUUGGAACAGAGCUGUGCCGCCGCAGACUGGCGCCGAGGACAGCCCCACCGUCGACCCGUCUAAUUGCGUCGUCCCCGGAUGAAUUCUUGCGAGCACGGACGCCUUGAGCUCCCAAUAGAAAGAUGAAGGUUCAAGAUGAAGUGGUUGCUGAAGAGGAGUCUACUCUAGUGUCUACUGAUCAAGUGGAGGAACCAUCUAACUGGGUAUUUUAUAGGAGGAUUUAGCACAUCUUCUCUUCAACAAAGACAAGACCCGAUGUAUUUGCCCCUUCCUUGUAUUGUUAAAAGACUUUUAUACACUUUAAGUCUAGUGAAAUAUGCAUUAAGUUUAUAGGGGUUGCUUGGAAACUAUUUGAUGCAUUUACUACCUUGAUAUCCAUUCCUUUUAUAG